RNAcentral lists this ribosomal RNA (253 nucleotides) under uncultured bacterium. RNAcentral describes it as "partial 16S ribosomal RNA". It matches the Rfam family "Bacterial small subunit ribosomal RNA", at positions 524 to 776 of the family's 1533-position model. The record is from RNAcentral.
UACGUAGGGGGCAAGCGUUGUCCGGAAUUAUUGGGCGUAAAGCGCGCGCAGGUGGUGGUUUAAGUCUGAUGUGAAAGCCCACGGCUCAACCGUGGAAGGUCAUUGGAAACUGGAUCACUUGAGUGCAGGAGAGGAAAGUGGAAUUCCACGUGUAGCGGUGAAAUGCGUAGAUAUGUGGAGGAACACCAGUGGCGAAGGCGACUUUCUGGCCUGUAACUGACACUGAGGCGCGAAAGCGUGGGGAGCAAACAGG